AUAGGGGAGCCGGAGGGAAACCGAGUCUUAAUUGGGCGUUAAGUUGCAGGGUAUAGACCCGAAACCCGGUGAUCUAGCCAUGGGCAGGUUGAAGGUUGGGUAACACUAACUGGAGGACCGAACCGACUAAUGUUGAAAAAUUAGCGGAUGACCUGUGGCUGGGGGUGAAAGGCCAAUCAAACCGGGAGAUAGCUGGUUCUCCCCGAAAGCUAUUUAGGUAGCGCCUCGUGAAUUCAUCUCCGGGGGUAGAGCACUGUUUCGGCUAGGGGGCCAUCCCGGCUUACCAACCCGAUGCAAACUGCGAAUACCGGAGAAUGUUAUCACGGGAGACACACGGCGGGUGCUAACGUCCGUCGUGAAGAGGGAAACAACCCAGACCGCCAGCUAAGGUCCCAAAGUCAUGGUUAAGUGGGAAACGAUGUGGGAAGGCCCAGACAGCCAGGAUGUUGGCUUAGAAGCAGCCAUCAUUUAAAGAAAGCGUAAUAGCUCACUGGUCGAGUCGGCCUGCGCGGAAGAUGUAACGGGGCUAAACCAUGCACCGAAGCUGCGGCAGCGAACGUAUCACCCAAGACAACUUUACGGAGUUGACGAUUGACGGAGCGAAGCGACGUCAAAGCGUUCAUUAAAGUCGAGUUGGCUUAGGGAUACGUUCGUUGGGUAGGGGAGCGUUCUGUAAGCCUGUGAAGGUGUGUCGUGAGGCAUGCUGGAGGUAUCAGAAGUGCGAAUGCUGACAUAAGUAACGAUAAAGCGGGUGAAAAGCCCGCUCGCCGGAAGACCAAGGGUUCCUGUCCAACGUUAAUCGGGGCAGGGUGAGUCGACCCCUAAGGCGAGGCCGAAAGGCGUAGUCGAUGGGAAACGGGUUAAUAUUCCCGUACUUGGUGUUACUGCGAAGGGGGGACGGAGAAGGCUAUGUUGGCCGGGCGACGGUUGUCCCGGUUUAAGCGUGUAGGUGUGUGUUCCAGGUAAAUCCGGUUCACUUUAACACUGAGGCGUGACGACGAGGCACUACGGUGCUGAAGCAACAAAUGCCCUGCUUCCAGGAAAAGCCUCUAAGCAUCAGGUAACACGAAAUCGUACCCCAAACCGACACAGGUGGUCAGGUAGAGAAUACCAAGGCGCUUGAGAGAACUCGGGUGAAGGAACUAGGCAAAAUGGUGCCGUAACUUCGGGAGAAGGCACGCUGACACGUAGGUGAAGUGAUUUACUCAUGGAGCUGAAGUCAGUCGAAGAUACCAGCUGGCUGCAACUGUUUAUUAAAAACACAGCACUGUGCAAACACGAAAGUGGACGUAUACGGUGUGACGCCUGCCCGGUGCCGGAAGGUUAAUUGAUGGGGUCAGCGCAAGCGAAGCUCCUGAUCGAAGCCCCGGUAAACGGCGGCCGUAACUAUAACGGUCCUAAGGUAGCGAAAUUCCUUGUCGGGUAAGUUCCGACCUGCACGAAUGGCGUAAUGAUGGCCAGGCUGUCUCCACCCGAGACUCAGUGAAAUUGAACUCGCUGUGAAGAUGCAGUGUACCCGCGGCAAGACGGAAAGACCCCGUGAACCUUUACUAUAGCUUGACACUGAACAUUGAGCCUUGAUGUGUAGGAUAGGUGGGAGGCUUUGAAGUGUGGACGCCAGUCUGCAUGGAGCCGACCUUGAAAUACCACCCUUUAAUGUUUGAUGUUCUAACGUGGACCCGUAAUCCGGGUUGCGGACAGUGUCUGGUGGGUAGUUUGACUGGGGCGGUCUCCUCCUAAAGAGUAACGGAGGAGCACGAAGGUUGGCUAAUCCUGGUCGGACAUCAGGAGGUUAGUGCAAUGGCAUAAGCCAGCUUGACUGCGAGCGUGACGGCGCGAGCAGGUGCGAAAGCAGGUCAUAGUGAUCCGGUGGUUCUGAAUGGAAGGGCCAUCGCUCAACGGAUAAAAGGUACUCCGGGGAUAACAGGCUGAUACCGCCCAAGAGUUCAUAUCGACGGCGGUGUUUGGCACCUCGAUGUCGGCUCAUCACAUCCUGGGGCUGAAGUAGGUCCCAAGGGUAUGGCUGUUCGCCAUUUAAAGUGGUACGCGAGCUGGGUUUAGAACGUCGUGAGACAGUUCGGUCCCUAUCUGCCGUGGGCGCUGGAGAACUGAGGGGGGCUGCUCCUAGUACGAGAGGACCGGAGUGGACGCAUCACUGGUGUUCGGGUUGUCAUGCCAAUGGCACUGCCCGGUAGCUAAAUGCGGAAGAGAUAAGUGCUGAAAGCAUCUAAGCACGAAACUUGCCCCGAGAUGAGUUCU
RNAcentral lists this ribosomal RNA (2259 nucleotides) under Salmonella enterica. Its description in RNAcentral is "bacterial LSU rRNA". It matches the Rfam family "Bacterial large subunit ribosomal RNA", at positions 657 to 2812 of the family's 2925-position model. The record is from RNAcentral. Lineage: Bacteria; Pseudomonadati; Pseudomonadota; Gammaproteobacteria; Enterobacterales; Enterobacteriaceae. RNAcentral also lists the same sequence under 1 other name.